CAAGGGGGAAGGAGCUCUCAUAGAGGAAGCUAACAAGAGACACUUGACUGCCUGUUUUGCUUCUGGUUGUGUGAAUAUUACUGAAGACUGCACAGGCUAUGUUGUAUUAGAGGAGAAAGAAUUGAUAUUGCUGGAUCAGUUGUUUGAAGCUGACAAAACAGGCACAACAGGAAAAACAGGCAAACGUGUUGUCUAAUCCCAUUCAUGACUGUAUCGGUUUCCACUUUAGCUGAAAUAAGGCCAGGGAGAAGGUAGGUCACAUCCAAACUAUGUGCUGUAUAAUUUCAAUUCAUUUACUCUAGGUUUUUUCAGUGUUUUAGGUAGAAUACAUUUAGUAUGUAUUAGAGUUAGUAGUUGGAGAAAUAUUGCUGAAACUGUAUUGUAUCAAUGCUGUCUAGUUUCAUCAAAAUCCAAACACUCGUAAUAACUUACGUUGGCUUCGCUGUAAUUCUGUUUUGAAUAAAUGCA
Alligator mississippiensis (American alligator) is the source of this 468-nucleotide long non-coding RNA. RefSeq lists it as uncharacterized. NCBI's taxonomy places the organism in Eukaryota, Metazoa, Chordata, Crocodylia, Alligatoridae. The record is from RefSeq and is a predicted model, not a curated record. The transcript is spliced from 3 exons.